GGGUACAGUGGCGAACGGGUGAGGAACACGUGGACGACCGACCCUCGAGUGGGGAAUAACUGCCUGAAAGGGUGGCUAAUACCGCAUACGUUCCCAGAGGUGACGGCCUUAGGGAAGAAAGCCUUCGGGCGCUCGUGGACGGGUCUGCGGCCGAUUAGCUAGUUGGUGGGGUCACGGCCUACCAAGGCGACGAUCGGUAGCUGGUCUGAGAGGACGGCCAGCCACACGGGGACUGGGACACGGCCCCGACUCCUACGGGAGGCAGCAGCAAGGAAUAUUGGGCAAUGGCCGAAAGGCUGACCCAGCGACGCCGCGUGGGGGAUGAAGGCCUUCGGGUCGUAAACCCCUUUUCUCAGGGACGAAGAUGACGGUACCUGAGGAAGAAGCCCCGGCUAACUACGUGCCAGCAGCCGCGGUAAUACGUAGGGGGCGAGCGUUGUCCGGAAUUACUGGGCGUAAAGCGCACGUAGGUGGUACGUCAAGUUCGGCGUGAAAUCUCCAGGCUCAACUUGGAGGGGUCGUCGAAGACUGGCGAACUAGGGUCUGGCAGAGGCAGGUAGAAUUCCCGGUGGAGCGGUGAAAUGCGUAGAGAUCGGGAGGAAUACCAGUGGCGAAGGCGGCCUGCUGGGCCACGACCGACACUGAGGUGCGAAAGCGUGGGGAGCGAACCGGAUUAGAUACCCGGGUAGUCCACGCCCUAAACGAUGGGUACUAGGCGUGGGGGGUAUCGACCCCCUCUGUGCCGAAGCUAACGCGAGAAGUACCCCGCCUGGGGAGUACGGCCGCAAGGUUGAAACUCAAAGGAAUUGACGGGGGCCCGCACAAGCAGCGGAGCGUGUGGUUUAAUUCGACGCAACGCGCAGAACCUUACCAGGGUUUGAAACGCCUCUUACAAUCGGGGAAACCCGGUGGCCGCAAGGCGUGAGGUACAGAUGCUGCAUGGCUGUCGUCAGCUCGUGCCGUGAGGUGUCGGGUUAAGUCCCGCAACGAGCGCAACCCCUGUCGCUAGUUGAGUGUCUAGCGAGACCGCCCCCGUAAGGGGGAGGAAGGCGGGAUGACGUCAAGUCAGCACGGCUCUUACAUCCUGGGCUACACACACGCUACAAUGGGCGCGACAGAGGGCAGCGAACCCGCGAGGGGGAGCGAAUCCCAGAAAGGCGUCCUCAGUUGGGAUUGCAGGCUGCAACUCGCCUGCAUGAACGUGGAGUUGCUAGUAACCGCAGGUCAGCACUACUGCGGUGAAUACGUUCCCGGGCCUUGUACACAUCGCCCGUCACGUCAUGAAAGUUGGGAACACCUGAAGUCGCUGGGCCGACCGCAAGGAGGUAGGCGCCGAGGGUGGGUCCGAUGAUUGGGACGAAGUCGUAACAAGGUA
This 1375-nucleotide ribosomal RNA is filed under the name metagenome. Its description in RNAcentral is "bacterial SSU rRNA". It matches the Rfam family "Bacterial small subunit ribosomal RNA". The record is from RNAcentral.